GGAAAAUAAAAGAAAUCCCGCAGCCAGGCACGGGAAAAACACUUCAGCGAACAAGAGAGAUCAAAGGAAAUCAGCUGAAAACAAUGUUCCAGUGUUUUGAAAUUUCCCUUGUGCUUACACAAUAAUAGCCUACUGGGUUAGACAGCCUGACAGGAAAUCUGGCAUCAGGUUAAAGUUUAAAUAGAAGCUAUUUGCUGUCCAGCAGUAAUACAUGGAUUGGAUAAACUGAGACUAGAUAGCGUUUAAGCUUGCCUUCAAAAUGUCGAAUUAAUUCCUCAGGUAGGACAGACACCUGCUACAUAUUCAGUUUAUUCUGAUUGCUCCAUGUGUGAGACACUUGGUGAGUGCUUUUCUCCAGGCACCUGCUAUGAAUAUAUUAACAUUCACAAAGUGUGUCCCCUUCUUCUCCGUGUGAUCACCACUGUCUUGUGAGGAGACAGCUCAUCUGUUCGGGGUGCCACGUUAAAGGCCGGACACUUGUUGGGUUUUGGUUGGCUCCGUCUGCUUCAGGAUCUUAAAAUGGCUUCUGGACAGAUAUUCAUGGAGGCGUUCCUUAACAUUUCUAGGGUUGCUGUACGUUAAUGCAGUACAGUCAAUUGAAAGGUUGUAGAUCUGAAUGCACGAAAUCAAAGGCCGUGAACGGUCUACACUGUGCUUUUGAAUACAACUUUUAAAAGCUGUAGAUAUUUCGUAUGAGAGAGGGGUCUUGGUUGAGAGGAGUGGCACCUGGUGUGGUUUUCUGCUACUGUAGUCCAUCUGCUUCAAGGUUUGUGCAUCGGUAAAAAAAUAGAACUAGAUAUUUUCUCAAAUACUAAAUAAAAGCUAUUUUCUUUAAACUACAUAAACCCCUUGUCAGACCAACAAAAUAAGUGUUGUCCUAAUUAGUCAAACACAGUUAUCUGAUCAAAGAUUUUCACGUUGUUGAAAUGUUAAGGCUUUGUGAGCUCCCAGCAUGCAUUGCAGCAUGAAUAAAUUACGCAGUUACUGUUAUAGGAUUAUUGUUUUGCCGUUUGCUAACUUUUCUGUUGUUUUAUCAUUAUUGUUAGGUAUUUGUUGUACUGUCUCAUCUUUUUAACAUUUGUUGAUUGCCACCGUUCUUGAUGUUAGUUUGUCAAGUUUUCAGGCCUAGAAUAUGUUCAACCACUUAUCCAUUUUUUGGAUAUCUUAGUUUGUAAGUUGUC
Puntigrus tetrazona (Sumatra barb) is the source of this 1181-nucleotide long non-coding RNA. RefSeq lists it as uncharacterized. Lineage: Eukaryota; Metazoa; Chordata; Actinopteri; Cypriniformes; Cyprinidae. The record is from RefSeq and is a predicted model, not a curated record. The transcript has 3 exons.